This 462-nucleotide long non-coding RNA is filed under the name Aquilegia coerulea. RNAcentral's name for it is "long non-coding RNA (ACOE_LNC002351)". The record is from RNAcentral. Lineage: Eukaryota; Viridiplantae; Streptophyta; Magnoliopsida; Ranunculales; Ranunculaceae.
AAAGCGAAGUGGUAUGCUUUCUCUGUUGGCUAGGGGAAAGAAGUUCUGGAUACUUCUUAGGUGACCGUAAAUCUGUUUGCAGUGUAACAUAAUUAUGGAAAAACAAAUUACAUGAUAUGCUAUACACAAGUAAAUUUGUUAUACUAAUUACUGAAGAUAGCUUAGUAAUACAGCACAACAGAACACAUGAAAACACAAAUAAAGCAAUCAUACCAAGUCAGGUAACCAUUUUGGAACUAAAUAGUACACGACAUAUAAAGAUUUGUCAUUAUACAGCUUUGUAUAUCGUACACACAAAGAAAAAAGGUAAAACCUAACAUACCGCCACUUGAAUCAUCAAGAAACUCAUCUACAGACAGCUGUGGAAGUGCCACAUACGAAGAAAAACUAGAGCAAUCUCCACGAUGAUAUGAGGACUCCCUAUUGAAAAACCUGGGAGCAGAUGAUUGCCGGGAUAACGAA